GCCGAGGUGGCGGGGAGCGCCGUGUGAGGCAAGCCACGCCCGGGAGGAGGGGCGCGGGGCCGAGGUUGACCAGUAGCCGGAACAGCCGGCUGAGGGAGUUAACUUGGGAGGUUACAGGGAGAGGUGCGGGGGACCGGGGCAAUAGCGGGAGGAGACCAGGAGCAGUCGCCUGCGCAACAGAGCUCAAGGACCAGGUUCUGGACGCCAGGAAGCCCGAGCCACGCCUAUGUGACACCCAGAGAAGGAGACAAGCAGCCCUGUGGUGCUCGGUAGGACCACGGGCAUUUCAGCGCCCUUUCGAGUCCCUGGGAGAGACACAGCGUGUCACAAGAGAGGACACUACAGAGAGACAACCAGGUCCACCUCAGCACUCCUGGCCCACCCCUUCACCUGCAGAGUGCUGGUCCCUCCUUAACCCAUUGCAGCCCCCUCUUCCGACACACAACUAAGAGUGGGCCCAGCAAACAACCACCUACCACCCUUCCUGAACGGGUAUCAGUCUGUGGUCCCCACAGCUACAAAGGAGCCUCAGGUUUCUCUAAUUUCCUCCACUUGGAAUUUGAAGCAGGCAGCUACUGCCCGAGCCCAGACAGUUCUAAAAAGGGCAGGUCCGUGGGAGCAUAGACUGGCCUGGGUGGGGUCAAGAGGAGGCGGGAGCCUCCAGUCUCUGGUUCCUAUUAAAGGACUGUCUGAGGGUUGCUCUCAUCAAGCUUGCAUCCUGGUGGUCUGCUCUGGGGAGGUGUGGGGACGGCCACUCUGGUCUUGCCACCAGCAGCAACUUGCACUGGGCUCUGGCCAAACCUAAGAUUGGGGGUGAGAUGGUGCACCCCAUCAUCCCCAGCUACCUGGGGGUGUCUCAGGUUCCAGGCCAGCCUGGGCAACUCAGGGAGACCCCAUCUCAGAAAAAAACCCCAAAAAGGGUGAAUAUGCUCCUCAGAGAUGUCCCCUGUUUCCUACGUGGGGAAGGAUGUGGGCAGGGAGGUGUGGUACAAGAAGGGACACCUGGACAGCCAGGCUUCUGGAAGGGAAGAGCCCCUGAACUGCUCAUGGAGACAGUGGGCCAGUGUUACCCUGCACACCCAGCAUGCAGGAAGCAGCUCCCAGAUGCCGCAGAACGGGACCAAGGUCAUUCCCUUUCCCCCAGGGAAUGUCCAUGCUCCAGCCUCGAUGGCAGGGCUACAGUGCUUCCUUUGCUUCUUCCUCAUCUACUCCUCAAUUUCCUGGUGUUCAGCAGAUUUUUCUUUUUCUUUUUUUGAGGGGGGCCGGAGGGUACUGGGGAUGGAACUCGGGACCUUUCGCUUGCAAAGCAGGCAGCGGAACCACUGAGCUAAAUCCCUGGCCCUUCAGUAGUAGAUUUUUCUUCACUACUGCCCUGCAGGCCAAGCCAACAGGGUAACCAUGGCAGCUCAAUUCUCCGGCCUGCUUUCUCCAUUCUCCCACACUGUCAUGUGUCCUUGUCACCAACCCAUAGUUCCUGUGGCUUUGAGGAGGGGUCACAAACCUGAGCACCCACAGGAGUGGGCGGCAAUGUAAAUGAAGUGUUGCAGUGGAGGGGAAAUAGCAGUGAGGUAAAACAGGGCAAAGGAAGCUUGGGCUCAACAAGCAGUGGUGGCAGAUUGGAGGGUGUGUGCCCCAUCAGAAAAGCACAGCAGCUGCCCGGCUGCCAUGGGGUACAGACUGGGUUCCUAGUUCUUCCAGUUUUCACAAGUCCCAGUAGUUCAUAUAUCAUGGGGAAGGGCCAGGGAUGUAGCUCAGUGGUGCCACGCCUGCCUGGCAAGGGAAAGGUCCUGAGUUCGGUCCUGAGUGCAGGGGUGGGGGGGCAUAGAUCAUGAAAAAUCUUUUUGGCCUGGAGCAUGCUGUGCACGUGUUCUGCCACUGAGCUACAUCUCCAGGACUCCAGAUCUUUGUGUUUAAAGGACAGACUGUACCAAAGUGUUUCACUCUCAUCCAGCCUGGCAGAUGCUGCUUUCCAGCUUCCUAUCUACAAAGUCUUCCAAGUCCUACAACAUGGAAUUCAAGACCCUGCAAGAUCCAGCCACACCCCCUCAGCCACCAGCCAUACUCAUUGUUAAAAAUUCUCCAGAAUAGCUGGAUUGGGUUGAGCACACCAAACCCUCUGCCUAGAGUUGCUUGCCCACUUUCCCUGGCAAGCUCCUGUGGUGAUGUCAUUGUUCAGGCAUCACUGUGUCCACACACUUCCUAGCUGUCUCCCCUUCUGAUAAGGUGACUGCCCCUCCUUCCCCUCGCCACACAGGGAUGCUUCCAUGUCUCUUAGGUUGACGCAGCUCCACUUCUGCAUGACUUGGGAGCCCUGGAGUGUGGGCAGGAGGCCUGUGUCCUGGCCGGUCUGCAGAGCAGGGAGUGGCCAUGGCGGGCUGGGGCCCUCUCAUGUCACUCCGCCUGCCCAGUGAGAGCUGUGAAGGGGCGACAGUACUAGCAGGGCAUGUGCCAGGAGCAAGCUGUAAUACAUGAGUGCACCAGGCUGUGGUAUCUGGAUGGGCUUCUCCUCUGGUUGCUGAGGGUGAGGCUGUGUCCAGUUUACUUCCCCAGUGCCCGACUGGGACCUAGCAGACAGACAUCUGGGAAUGGCCACUGAGUGAGCAAACUCCGGCAGAGGGGAGGGAAUCCAGGCUCUGCCAGUCCCAGCGGACUUACCUGUCUCAUCCACCUCUGUUUGCCCAACUCAGGGCCCCGGGUGUGGAAUCCGGUAACUCUGAAAGGCAGGAGGCAGGAGGGCAGGAGGUCAGACCAGAUCCUCCAGGAAGCUAAAGGCCCCAACCUGUGUUCUGCCAACACUUAGCUCCACUCUCCCUGGGGUGCAAGGACAGACGUCAGGGCCCUGUUGUUAAGAUUUAUUGUUCUCUGCUCUGUACAAGCGGCGUCUACCACCCUGACCCCCAACCCCACAAUGCAAAAGCACUCCCUCCUGCAGUCCCAGCUCUGCAUGUCCCACUGCCUAGCCAGGCUCAAAAGGAAAGGGGUGUUCAAUUCAGCUCCAUCUCCAUCAAAGAGCUCCCUGGGGCGGAGGCGGGGGGAGGGGUCACGAGAGGGAUGGAAAGAGCCAAGUUCAGGGUCCGGUUGGACAGGGAAGGGCCGAGAACCUGGAGGGUGAUUCAGUCUGGAGUCCGCAGGACCUGGGCCCUGGGGAGGCCAGGCAGUCUGAAGUUCUGAAGGAUGGGACAGAGACGGGGAACAGUCCGACAGCAGCCCGGAGAGGAGCAGUCCAGGGCAGACACGAGAUCACGUGGGGAAGCA
RNAcentral lists this long non-coding RNA (3255 nucleotides) under Heterocephalus glaber (naked mole-rat). RNAcentral describes it as "lncRNA (ENSHGLG00000043729.1)". The record is from RNAcentral. Lineage: Eukaryota; Metazoa; Chordata; Mammalia; Rodentia; Bathyergidae.